RNAcentral lists this ribosomal RNA (1626 nucleotides) under metagenome. Its description in RNAcentral is "bacterial LSU rRNA". It matches the Rfam family "Bacterial large subunit ribosomal RNA", at positions 1261 to 2910 of the family's 2925-position model. The record is from RNAcentral.
AGGUGACUACUGCUGGAGCCUAUGGAAAAGCAAAUGUAGGUAUAAGUAACGAUUAGGAGGGCGAGAACCCCUCCCGCCGAACGGCUAAGGUUUCCCAGGCAAUGCCAUUCAUCCUGGGGUCAGUCGGGUCCUAAGGCUAAGCCGAGCGGCGAGGCCGAUGGCAGACACGGUCAACAUUCCGUGACUACCGCCAUCAGUGAUGUCCUGACGGAGCAGUGACACCUCCGCGCCCUGACGGAAUAGGGCGUUGAAGGGCGUAGGCUAUGAUGAUGCCAGGCAAAUCCGGCAUCAGAGCUGAAACCUGAAAGUACGGGGUCCCCUUCGGGGGAACCUGAGAGCGAGGGUAACCAUACUCCCGAGAAAAUGGGCUAAACUCAUGUUGGCGGUACCCGUACCGCAAACCGACACAGGUAGUUGGGUAGAACAUACUAAGGCGUUGAGAGAUUCAUGGCUAAGGAACUAGGCAAACUGACCCCGUAACUUCGGGAUAAGGGGUCCUCACCUCCGGGUGAGGCGCAGAGAAUAGGUCCAGGCAACUGUUUAACAAAAACACAGGGCUGUGCGAACUCGAAAGAUGAAGUAUACAGCCUGACACCUGCCCGGUGCCGGAAGGUUAAGAGGAGAUGUCACCGCAAGGGAAGCAUUGAAUUGAAGCCCCGGUAAACGGCGGCCGUAACAAUAACGGUCCUAAGGUAGCGAAAUUCCUUGUCGGGUAAGUUCCGACCUGCACGAAUGGUGUAAUGAUCCGGACGCUGUCUCGGCCAUGAGCUCAGUGAAAUUGUAGUAUCGGUGAAGAUGCCGAUUACCCGCGAUGGGACGAAAAGACCCCGUGAACCUUUACUACAGCUUAGCAUUGACCUUGGUCAUCCGAUGUGUAGGAUAGGCCGGAGGCUUCGAAGCGGCGUCGCCAGGCGUUGUGGAGCCAUCCUUGAAAUACGGCCCUUUGGCUGUCUGAGGUCUAACGCGGAUAGUCGCGGACACUGCUUGGUGGGUAGUUUGACUGGGGUGGUCGCCUCCAAAAGCGUAACGGAGGCUUCCAAAGGUGCCCUCGGGCCGUUUGGUAAGCGGCCUUCAAGAGUGCAAUGGCAAAAGGGCGCUUGACUGGGAGGGAGACAUCCCGAGCAGGCAGGAAACUGGGGCAUAGUGAUCCGGCGGAUGUGUAUGGAAACUCCGUCGCUCAAAGGAUAAAAGGUACUCCGGGGAUAACAGGCUGAUCCCCCCCAAGAGCUCAUAUCGACGGGGUGGUUUGGCACCUCGAUGUCGGCUCGUCACAUCCUGGGGCUGGAGAAGGUCCCAAGGGUUGGGCUGUUCGCCCAUUAAAGUGGCACGCGAGCUGGGUUCAGAACGUCGUGAGACAGUUCGGUCUCUAUCUAUCGUGGGCGCAGGAGUUUUGAGUGGUGCUGUCACUAGUACGAGAGGACCGUGACGGACAGACCUCCGGUGUACCGGUUGUGCCGCCAGGCGCACCGCCGGGUAUCCGCGUCUGGAUCGGAUAAGCGCUGAAAGCAUCUAAGUGCGAAGCUUUCCACGAGAUUAGAACUCCAUUGAGGGUCGUCGCAGACGACGACGUUGAUAGGGCGCAGGUGUAAAGACGGCGACGUCAAAGCCGAGCGCUACUAAUUGCCC